UUUCCUGAAAUCUUCCAUCUUGGAAAAUUAUUAGGUGUCUUACAAAUGAGUGUCUUAGAAAUGAGUGAUUAAAACACUUCUCCCAUCAGGGAAAGGUAUCUAAAUAAUUUGAUUGUAAGUAUAAGGAAGAUCUGAUUAAAGAUUUUUCUUAUGUAAUAUUUUCACGAAAUAAAGAGUUUUGUUUAUAUAUCUUCUAUCCAAUUCAUAUGUUAGCCCCAAGUGAAGGUUGUGAUAUUCUGCCUUAUCGGAGGAAAGACAAUAGAAUAGCGCCAGAAUGAGUGUCAUCAUAGGCUAAACAAUCUUUCAUUGCUGAUGAAGGAAAAGUAUAGUGAUACUAAUACAGCUAGCAAAAGAAGAAGUCGAAAGGUAUAAAUAUUAAACUCCAAGUUUUCAUGAAACUAUUAGCAUAAGGAGAAAUCUAUCUUCAUGUCUUCUAAUACUUAUUCAUACAUAUUAUAUGAUACUAAGUACCUACAGGGAAUAAAGAUUAUCAUGAAAUUUUUAAUAUUUCAAUGAAUUAUUAUACUAUUUUUCUUGAUGAAAAAAAGAAAUUAAUCACCAUUUUAAUGGUAAUUAAAUUAAACAGAGAUUUGCAAGAGAAAAUUCUUGAAAAAAUCAUAGAUAACCUUGUUCAAGAAGAAUGGUCUAUAAGUGAUUAUUUAUAUAUAGAUAAUGAUGAUGAAUUAUACUAUUUGUAUGAUGAAAACCAUUUCACUGACCAAAUCAAAUAAAAUUCCGCAUACCCUGUUUGCAAACAACNNNNNNNNNNNNNNNNNNNNNNNNNNNNNNNNNNNNNNNNNNNNNNNNNNNNNNNNNNNNNGUGCUCAUUUGUACUGGAAGUUGCAAGAUUUUGAUUACACUGCUUUUGAUCCAUAAUUAUAUUGCAAUUAUCGAUUUUGAGAAGAGCACGCACAUAUGCUAAAAGUUGUUUACUUGUGCACACGAAAGUUAGAGGGCACGAAAGUUAGAGGGCAUAGGUACAAGCUAAGACCAACUUAUAGAACAUCUUAUAAAUUAUGUCUUUUUCGUUUAUUAUUAUUGGGGCUGUGUAUAUAUUCUUAAGACCUUUUUGUGCUCAAAUUAUAUUCACAGGAGAGCUCCUUGCUUUAUUUCUUUCAUUUUUGUUUAUAGGUUGAACUAUUUGUAAUAUUGUAUUGAUGAGGAUUCUUUACUAUCCUUCGUUGUGAUCUUAUUUUCCAGAAAGAUAAUCUUUUAUCAAAAUUGUGGUGUAGAAUUUUAUUUAAGUCGAUGAAACAUAUAUAUUUAAAGCAUAAUAUGAGUACAAUACUGAGCUUGCAUAUGCACUCUAUCUUUCGACAAAUAGGAAAAUCAAAUCUUUAACAUAUAAAUGUGAUUUCUAGAACAAAACCAGUGAAGCAACUAUAUUGUAUACGAGUAUUUUCUUCCUUUGAAGAUUUUAUAAUUCGAAUUUCUCAAAGAUUGUUGUAGGUGGAGAUUAGGAAGGUAACUAAGUGCAAAACUUCUUAACAACAUCAAUAUUUAUAUAACAUUAGAGAAGUUCAGUUGAUAAUCAAUUGAUAUCAUAUAAGUGUAGGUAUUAUGAGUUUUAUGAUUCUCUUAAGUUGAGCAAGCUUUUCUAAUUAAUUUCUUUAAUUAUUAUUAUUUUUGAUGUUUUGACACGAUGUUUCUACGUUUGAUUUAAUCAUAACGAAGAAACUACAUAAUAACAUAGAGAAAAUAAUUUUUUGCAGUAAUUGCGUAUCGUUAUAAUGAUAUAUGCUCUUUUGGACAGUCAGCGAGUGAAACAAGGAUAUAUGCUUAGGGGAGGUUAGAUGGUUAAGCUAGCGUUUCUUGCUUAUUAGUAUGUAUUUUAAUCGUUUCUUAUAUCCUUUGAGUUUGGUUAUUAUUGGUUGCUAGUGGAACAAAAGGUGGAAGCAACAAGGAUGAGUGAAUAAAGUUUUUUUUUUUGAGAAAACAAAAAGAAAUCAAUAGAGAACAAACAAACCAAAAAGUGGCGCAAAAAACAUAGGAAAAAGGCAGGAAUAAGAGAACAGACGAAGAGGGUGAGUAUAAAAACCAUUUCAAGAAAAAAAUUGAGGAGCAAAAGAGAGGCAACAAAACAAACAAGAGAGGAGAUUAGUGAUAGAAACAAAGAGGAACAACAAUAUAGGAGAUUAGGCUAGAAAAAAAGAGGAAUACGAGGAAGAAUAGGGGAAAACUAUCUAAAUCCACCCGAAACCACCAUCGAAACACACUCAAAACUCAUAGUCAUCAAUUCUAUUUCAUGCAACAAAAAGAUUAUGUUCUUUACUAGUGGAUUCAUGACUAUUGGAUGGUACUUUUAGAUGAAUUUUUGCAAGAAAAUAAGUUGUUCGGGUUUUGUGAAGUGUCAUUGGAGGAAUACAAACAAUAAUAACAUAUUUACUGUAAUUUCACAAGCAGGGUUCAGAGGAUAAUUUAUACGCAACCUGUUCUCUUUCAUGUGAAGGUAGAGAGGUUAUUUUUAAUAAAUCCUUAGGGAAAUGAAAAUAUUAAUAAAGAUAUUCUAUAAUUGUAAUCAUAAUAUUUUGUCUAACUGAGGAUCUUGAUGAUUCAAUAUACCCGAAGACAUUUUCCAGCAAACAAAGAUUAUUUAGCUAUAAAAGUCGUCCCUUGGCAAGUGGAUACCGAGUCUCUGCAAUUGGUGUGGUGGAACUUCAUGGGUAAUAGCACUCGAAAUUUGAUAUCUCUUACAUUUCAAUACAGUUCACAUAUCGAUUCUUGGCGUGAACACAACUGUAAUAUAACAGUUUGCAAUGUCAACUUCUGAGACGAGAGACAAUUACAAAUAUGUUCUGUACAAUGAUGGUCUAUCUCUGAUUUAAUAUAUUGAAUUAGCUUAUUAUAUUGUUCUAAGAUAAGAAAAUGUCUUAGCUUCAACAUCCUGAGAGGCUCAAAAAAAUUGCCACCAUGGUGUUAACUAGAAUUGACGUUAUUAAUAUAGCUAUUUAUAAUCUGUGUUUGAUGAGACUUUGAGAGAUUGAAUGAAAGUAUAGAAUCAUAUGUUCUUGGGAGGACGUCAGAUUUGUGACAAUGAGUGUUGAUUUAGCAUAAAUUAUGUGUACAUUUUCAGUUGAAUGCAGUAGGUAAAUGAUUGAAUAUGAAAAAAAAAUUAAUACUUUGUAUCAUUUCAUGUAAAGUUUAAUAUUCAAUACUUUGCUUAAAUAAAAUUAAUACUAUACAAUAAUAUUUUUUUUUGAAUUAACAACCACGUGCAACUCAAGUUGUCCUAAACUAGUAUAUAUAUAUAUAUAUGUGCGCGCGUGUGUUGUUCCUCCUUCUGUGUAAUUAUAUAUACUAAAAUUAGUAGUGAAGACGGUGUGAACUACCAUUUGAGACUUUUCUACUUGUAGGUGAUGUGCUCAUAAUAUAUUUUACUUAUAUUAUUUUUGCAUUGCUCAGUGGACUUAUUGUACCUACUGAGUACAAGUGAACUGUACUCACCCUCACUGUGCCCUUUAGGUGCUGAUCCUUGUACGGGCACUUCAUAUGGUGGUAGACUUCAUGCGGUGGAGUUGGUGACACUUCUAGGUACUGGCUCACUCUAGGCUUUUUCAGAGCCGACUUCAGACCUCCUCUAUCUAUUAAUUGUCUUUACUCCUAUUUCAG
Molecule: long non-coding RNA, 3609 nt
Filed under: Capsicum annuum
Lineage: Eukaryota; Viridiplantae; Streptophyta; Magnoliopsida; Solanales; Solanaceae
Description: long non-coding RNA (CANN_LNC012640)
Source: RNAcentral